UACGUAGGGGGCAAGCGUUGUCCGGAUUCAUUGGGCGUAAAGAGCGUGUAGGCGGCCAGGUAGGUCGGUUGUGAAAACUGGAGGCUCAACCUUCAGAGGUCGACCGAAACCAUCUGGCUAGAGUCCGGGAGAGGAGAGUGGAAUUCCUGGUGUAGCGGUGAAAUGCGCAGAUAUCUGGAGGAAUACCGGUGGCGAAGGCGGCAUCCUGGACCGAGAUUGACACUGAUGAGCGAAAGCCAGGGGAGCAAACGGG
This 253-nucleotide ribosomal RNA is filed under the name uncultured bacterium. RNAcentral describes it as "partial 16S ribosomal RNA". It matches the Rfam family "Bacterial small subunit ribosomal RNA", at positions 524 to 776 of the family's 1533-position model. The record is from RNAcentral.